This 211-nucleotide long non-coding RNA is filed under the name Solanum tuberosum (potato). RNAcentral's name for it is "long non-coding RNA (STUB_LNC009278)". The record is from RNAcentral. Lineage: Eukaryota; Viridiplantae; Streptophyta; Magnoliopsida; Solanales; Solanaceae.
ACAUAUGUGAGAAAGCCUUUCACAUAAACACCUUUAUACAACACAUAUUCAUACCUUGCUAAUCAUACACUUUGCAUGCAUAAUAAGAUGUAAGGGUGCAUAUAAGAGUUAACCUUUCAAUAGACACCAUAACACAUCAUAUUCAUAGCUAUACAUGUAGAGUGUGUGUGUGCAUAUUGGUCCUCAUAGUGACAUAAUAGAAACAACAUUG